GCCUAUAUGAAGUCGGAAUUGCUAGUAAUCGCAGAUCAGCAUGCUGCGGUGAAUACGUUCCCGGGCCUUGUACACACCGCCCGUCACACCAUGAGAGUCGAUAACACCCGAAGCCUGUAGUCUAACCAUAAGGGGGACGCAGUCGAAGGUGGGAUUGAUAAUUAGGGUGAAGUCGUAACAAGGUAAC
Molecule: ribosomal RNA, 187 nt
Filed under: uncultured bacterium
Lineage: Bacteria
Description: partial 16S ribosomal RNA
Rfam family: Bacterial small subunit ribosomal RNA
Source: RNAcentral